UUUGACAGCCAUAUGACCCUGCAGUCCAAGACUGGUAACUCACUGAAGCUAAACAGGAUGAGCCUUGUCAGUACCUGGAUGGAAGACUGCAUAGGAAAACUAGGUUGCUGUUGGAU
Molecule: ribosomal RNA, 116 nt
Organism: Danio rerio (zebrafish)
Lineage: Eukaryota; Metazoa; Chordata; Actinopteri; Cypriniformes; Danionidae
Source: Ensembl